RNAcentral lists this long non-coding RNA (789 nucleotides) under Sus scrofa (pig). RNAcentral's name for it is "lncRNA (ENSSSCG00070013570.1)". The record is from RNAcentral. Lineage: Eukaryota; Metazoa; Chordata; Mammalia; Artiodactyla; Suidae.
CUGGAGUUGGUGCCCUUUAACACUGAGCUAUAUUAACAGACAGGCUCUGAGACUCUAAUGCCCUCAAUAUGCAGUUUCGGUUUCUAGGGAAGAGUCCUGAGAGUCCCAAGGAGCCAUUUGGGAUCUGCCGGAGCAAGAACAACGGCGUGAAGAGCUAAAAGCGAUUCCAAGGAAAUGUAGCAGAAGUGUCAGUCCAGCUGCACUCAUGUCCUGGCAAAAGGGACAGACCGAGCCGGCUGCUUCCCCAUGUGCUCUGGUGCUGGUCUCCCACCGGGACACAGAGCAGGGCCGGGGCUCCAAGCACUGCUUUAGGGUCUCCCAGAAGUGCAAGGAAGCCUCACGCGAUGCCUGAUUCAGAAGUAGGCUGCUACCAGGCAGCUUUGUGCAUUUGGUGGCUUCCUUGGAAACUCAUCAAACGCUUGGCACAAACGCGUCCCUCCUCCAGUGACAGGAGCUCACACUUCGGCAAGCAUCAAACUGCUCUGAAAUGUGAUAACGGCGUCUGUCAAUUUCUGCACACAGAGUGCUGUUUUCUGCAGCGGGACUGUUUGUCUUGGCCUUCUGGAGCUGUAGGAGCUUUCAGACCCCCUACUCCUUGGAGCAAGGUGCUGCUGCAAUGGGGUGAGCGCGGAGCAAACAUUGAAAGGCUUUGAGCUGGGAGCUCAGUGGACCCUCAGAGCUCAUGGAGGACCUGACAAGGGUUCUCUUAGAAAGGGGCUAAUGGAAAUGUCCUUUAGGAAAGGUGAGGAUUCUUCCUGCUGGAUGCCAUGAAGAUUAAGGAUGACGGAG